RNAcentral lists this ribosomal RNA (253 nucleotides) under uncultured bacterium. RNAcentral's name for it is "partial 16S ribosomal RNA". It matches the Rfam family "Bacterial small subunit ribosomal RNA", at positions 524 to 776 of the family's 1533-position model. The record is from RNAcentral.
UACAGAGGUCUCAAGCGUUGUUCGGAAUUAUUGGGCGUAAAGCGCGUGUAGGCGGCUUUGCAAGUCGGGCGUGAAAUCCCACGGCUCAACCGUGGAAGUGCACUCGAAACUGGGUAGCUAGAGUCCUGGAGAGGAAGGUGGAAUGCUUGGUGUAGAGGUGAAAUUCGUAGAUAUCAAGCGGAACACCGGUGGCGAAGGCGGCCUUCUGGACAGUGACUGACGCUGAGACGCGAAAGCGUGGGGAGCAAACAGG